RNAcentral lists this microRNA precursor (84 nucleotides) under Corchorus capsularis. RNAcentral's name for it is "pre miRNA mir-156". The record is from RNAcentral. Lineage: Eukaryota; Viridiplantae; Streptophyta; Magnoliopsida; Malvales; Malvaceae.
UUGACAGAAGAUAGAGAGCACAGCUGAACAUACCCAGAAAAGGCCUGUGUAUGAGCAGUUUUGUGCUCUCUGUUCUUCUGUCAA